UACCCGGUGGUGUAACGGUAACACAAGGGACUUUGGCUCCCUAAUUCCAGGUUCGAAUCCUGGCCGGGUAG
RNAcentral lists this transfer RNA (71 nucleotides) under Dictyoglomus turgidum. RNAcentral's name for it is "tRNA-Gln". It matches the Rfam family "tRNA". Rfam says of the family: Transfer RNA (tRNA) molecules are approximately 80 nucleotides in length. Their secondary structure includes four short double-helical elements and three loops (D, anti-codon, and T loops). Lineage: Bacteria; Pseudomonadati; Dictyoglomota; Dictyoglomia; Dictyoglomales; Dictyoglomaceae. RNAcentral also lists the same sequence under 3 other names. The record is from RNAcentral.